Molecule: non-coding RNA, 25 nt
Filed under: Rattus norvegicus (Norway rat)
Lineage: Eukaryota; Metazoa; Chordata; Mammalia; Rodentia; Muridae
Source: RNAcentral
UGCUCCGGGAAGUAGAGAGUGGCCA